This 179-nucleotide non-coding RNA is filed under the name Enterobacterales bacterium. RNAcentral's name for it is "6S RNA". It matches the Rfam family "6S / SsrS RNA". From Rfam's summary of the family: E. coli 6S RNA was the first non coding RNA to be sequenced, but its function was unknown until recently. It consists of 184 nucleotides that fold into an extended hairpin structure with a large single-stranded internal bulge. Lineage: Bacteria; Pseudomonadati; Pseudomonadota; Gammaproteobacteria; Enterobacterales. The record is from RNAcentral.
GAAGUACUGGGGUGCUCGCUCGCGGCGAUGUUCCUCGAGCCUAUGUAUUAUACUUUGGGAGCCAGUACCUGCUGAUGUUGUGCACGUCCGCUAGUCGGGAAGCCUGAUUCGGUAUACAGGCUCCCCCCUGAACCUCAUGGUUCAAGGGGCUUAACCCGUAAUGACACUUUCGGUCUUCA